GGGUGUGAGGGUGAUCUGGCUGCAACAUCUGUCACCCAUUGAUCUCCAGACUGGCUUCAUGGGUUCUGGCUGGCAAGGCUGGGUCUCCUUCCUCCCUUACCUCUCAGUAUAUCUCUUCUUGAGCUGCACACUGCCUUCCACAGUAGGGUGAGCUGUUCUUCAGAAAAGAGGAUACUUUUCUGAAAUAACUCCACUUAAUUCAAGAACCCUUUAAAACCAGGUGUGGUGGUGCAAUUCUGUAAUC
Ictidomys tridecemlineatus (thirteen-lined ground squirrel) is the source of this 244-nucleotide unclassified non-coding RNA. Its record names the gene 7SK. It matches the Rfam family "7SK RNA". From Rfam's summary of the family: 7SK was discovered as an abundant small nuclear RNA in the mid-70s but a possible function has only recently been suggested. Two independent studies have found that 7SK RNA binds the CDK9/cyclin T complex (known as elongation factor P-TEFb). P-TEFb activates transcription by phosphorylating the C-terminal domain of RNA polymerase II. NCBI's taxonomy places the organism in Eukaryota, Metazoa, Chordata, Mammalia, Rodentia, Sciuridae. The record is from Ensembl.